AUUGAACGCUGGCGGCAUGCCUUACACAUGCAAGUCGAACGGUAACAGGUCUUCGGAUGCUGACGAGUGGCGAACGGGUGAGUAAUACAUCGGAACGUGCCCGAUCGUGGGGGAUAACGAAGCGAAAGCUUUGCUAAUACCGCAUACGAUCUACGGAUGAAAGCAGGGGACCGCAAGGCCUUGCGCGAACGGAGCGGCCGAUGGCAGAUUAGGUAGUUGGUGGGAUAAAAGCUUACCAAGCCGACGAUCUGUAGCUGGUCUGCGAGGACGACCAGCCACACUGGGACUGAGACACGGCCCAGACUCCUACGGGAGGCAGCAGUGGGGAAUUUUGGACAAUGGGCGAAAGCCUGAUCCAGCCAUGCCGCGUGCAGGAUGAAGGCCUUCGGGUUGUAAACUGCUUUUGUACGGAACGAAAAGACUCUGGUUAAUACCUGGGGUCCAUGACGGUACCGUAAGAAUAAGCACCGGCUAACUACGUGCCAGCAGCCGCGGUAAUACGUAGGGUGCAAGCGUUAAUCGGAAUUACUGGGCGUAAAGCGUGCGCAGGCGGUUAUAUAAGACAGAUGUGAAAUCCCCGGGCUCAACCUGGGAACUGCAUUUGUGACUGUAUAGCUAGAGUACGGCAGAGGGGGAUGGAAUUCCGCGUGUAGCAGUGAAAUGCGUAGAUAUGCGGAGGAACACCGAUGGCGAAGGCAAUCCCCUGGGCCUGUACUGACGCUCAUGCACGAAAGCGUGGGGAGCAAACAGG
This 751-nucleotide ribosomal RNA is filed under the name uncultured Comamonadaceae bacterium. RNAcentral describes it as "bacterial SSU rRNA". It matches the Rfam family "Bacterial small subunit ribosomal RNA", at positions 28 to 776 of the family's 1533-position model. The record is from RNAcentral. Lineage: Bacteria; Pseudomonadati; Pseudomonadota; Betaproteobacteria; Burkholderiales; Comamonadaceae.